GAUGAACGCUGGCGGCGUGCCUAACACAUGCAAGUCGAGCGAUUUACUUCGGUAAGGAGCGGCGGACGGGUGAGUAACGCGUGGGUAACCUGCCCUGUACACACGGAUAACAUACCGAAAGGUAUGCUAAUACGAGAUAAUAUGCUUUUAUCACAUGGUAGAAGUAUCAAAGCUUUUGCGGUACAGGAUGGACCCGCGUCUGAUUAGCUAGUUGGUAAGGUAACGGCUUACCAAGGCGACGAUCAGUAGCCGACCUGAGAGGGUGAUCGGCCACAUUGGAACUGAGACACGGUCCAAACUCCUGCGGGAGGCAGCAGUGGGGAAUAUUGCACAAUGGGCGAAAGCCUGAUGCGGCAACGCCGCGUGAGCGAUGAAGGCCUUCGGGUCGUAAAGCUCUGUCCUCAAGGAAGAUAAUGACGGUACUUGAGGAGGAAGCCCCGGCUAACUACGUGCCAGCAGCCGCCGUAA
Molecule: ribosomal RNA, 468 nt
Filed under: uncultured bacterium
Lineage: Bacteria
Description: partial 16S ribosomal RNA
Rfam family: Bacterial small subunit ribosomal RNA
Source: RNAcentral